GUAAGUAUAGUUUAACCAAAAUAUUAGAUUGUGAUUCUAAAGACAGGGGUUAAAGUCCCCUUACUCACC
This 69-nucleotide transfer RNA is filed under the name Squalius cephalus (European chub). Its description in RNAcentral is "tRNA-His". It matches the Rfam family "tRNA". From Rfam's summary of the family: Transfer RNA (tRNA) molecules are approximately 80 nucleotides in length. The record is from RNAcentral. RNAcentral also lists the same sequence under 3 other names. Lineage: Eukaryota; Metazoa; Chordata; Actinopteri; Cypriniformes; Leuciscidae.